GCUGGCGGCGUGCUUAACACAUGCAAGUGNAGCGACGAACCAGGGCUUGCCCUGGGGYAGAGCCGCGAACGGGUGAGUAACACGUGGGUAACCUACCCCGAUGACCGGGACAACCCGAGGAAACUCGGGCUAAUACCGGAUGUUCUCCUUUCUCGCAAGGGAAAUGAGCAAAGAUAGCUUCGGCCUUCGCAUCGGGGCGGGCCCGCGGCCCAUUAGCUUGUUGGUGGGGUAACGGCCUACCAAGGCGACGAUGGGUAGCUGGUCUGAGAGGACGAUCAGCCACACUGGGACUGAGACACGGCCCAGACUCCUACGGGAGGCAGCAGUGGGGAAUCUUGCGCAAUGGGCGAAAGCCUGACGCAGCAACGCCGCGUGGGGGAAGAAGGCCUUCGGGUUGUAAACCCCUUUCAGUUGGGACGAAGCUUCGAGGGUUAAUAGCCCUCUGGAGUGACGGUACCUUCAGAAGAAGCCCCGGCUAACUACGUGCCAGCAGCCGCGGUAAUACGUAGGGGGCUAGCGUUGUCCGGAAUCAUUGGGCGUAAAGCGCGUGUAGGCGGUCCGGUAAGUCCGCUGUGAAAGUCGGGGGCUCAACCCUCGGAUGCCGGUGGGAUACUGU
RNAcentral lists this ribosomal RNA (616 nucleotides) under uncultured soil bacterium. RNAcentral's name for it is "bacterial SSU rRNA". It matches the Rfam family "Bacterial small subunit ribosomal RNA", at positions 35 to 636 of the family's 1533-position model. The record is from RNAcentral.